RNAcentral lists this ribosomal RNA (471 nucleotides) under uncultured bacterium. RNAcentral's name for it is "bacterial SSU rRNA". It matches the Rfam family "Bacterial small subunit ribosomal RNA", at positions 28 to 507 of the family's 1533-position model. The record is from RNAcentral.
GAUAAACGCUGGCGGCGCACAUAAGACAUGCAAGUCGAACGGACUUAACCAUUAGUUUACUAUUGGAGCGGUUAGUGGCGGACUGGUGAGUAACACGUAAGUAACCUGCCUGUUANAGGGGAAUAACAGUGAGAAAUCACUGCUAAUACCGCAUAUGCUCACAGUAUCGCAUGAUACUGUGAGGAAAGGAGCAAUCCGCUAACAGAUGGGCUUGCGUCUGAUUAGAUAGUUGGUGGGGUAACGGCCUACCAAGUCGACGAUCAGUAGCCGAACUGAGAGGUUGAACGGCCACAUUGGGACUGAGAUACGGCCCAGACUCCUACGGGAGGCAGCAGUCGGGAAUAUUGCGCAAUGGGGGAAACUCUGACGCAGUGACGCCGCGUAUGGGAAGAAGGUUUUAGGAUUGUAAACCAUUUUAGACAGGGAAGAACAAUGACAGUACCUGUAGAAUAAGCUCCGGCUAACUACGUG